CGCUCCCUGCGGUGUUCGAGUAGUGGGCUGGGUAACCCCUUGAUCCUAAUUAAUCUGACCCAGGGUGAGCGGUUGUCGGCGUAAGUGUGCAAGUCCGCCGCGUCGCGGAAAGCCUGAUACGCCGCGCUGUUCCCCCACUUGAACCUUGCGGUUCAAGGGUAACAGCUCAAAACGACACAGGCGGAGAGCGC
This 191-nucleotide non-coding RNA is filed under the name Candidatus Contendibacter sp. RNAcentral's name for it is "Candidatus Contendobacter sp. 6S RNA". It matches the Rfam family "6S / SsrS RNA". From Rfam's summary of the family: E. coli 6S RNA was the first non coding RNA to be sequenced, but its function was unknown until recently. It consists of 184 nucleotides that fold into an extended hairpin structure with a large single-stranded internal bulge. Lineage: Bacteria; Pseudomonadati; Pseudomonadota; Gammaproteobacteria; Candidatus Competibacteraceae. The record is from RNAcentral.